This 468-nucleotide ribosomal RNA is filed under the name uncultured bacterium. Its description in RNAcentral is "partial 16S ribosomal RNA". It matches the Rfam family "Bacterial small subunit ribosomal RNA", at positions 28 to 507 of the family's 1533-position model. The record is from RNAcentral.
GAUGAACGCUGGCGGCGUGCUUAAUACAUGCAAGUCGAACGGAAAGGCCAUGCUUUUGUGGGUCGCAUGAGUGGCGAACGGGUGAGUAACACGUGAGUAACCUGCCCUUGACUUUGGGAUAACUUCAGGAAAAAGGGGCUAAUACCGGAUAUAAGCUUCUGAUGCAUGGGGGGGGUUGGAAAAAUUCGGCGGUUGUGGAUGGACUGGCGGCUUAUCCGCUUGUUGGUGAGGUAGGUGCUGACCAAAGCUAUGACGGGUAGCCGGCCUUAGAGGCUGACCGGCCACAUUGGGACUGCGAUACGGCCCAGUCUCCUACGGGAGGCAGUGGGGGAGAAUAUUGCACAACGGGCGGAAGCCUGAUACGGCGACGCCGCGUUCGGGAUGACGGCCUUCGGGGUAUAAACCGAUUUCGCCUGUGACGAAGCGUGAGUGACGGUAAUGGGUAAAGAAGCACCGGCUAACUACGUG